ACCGGCAAACGGGUGCGGAACACGUACGCAACCUUCCCAAAACUGGUGAAUAGCCCUCCGAAAGGAGGAUUAAUACACCGUAACUUAAUGAGGUGGCAUCACUUUAUUAAUAUAGCUCCGGCGGUUUUGGGUGGGCGUGCGCCUGAUUAGGUAGUUGGCGGGGUAACGGCCCACCAAGCCUACGAUCAGUAACUGGUGUGAGAGCACGACCAGUCACACGGGCACUGAGACACGGGCCCGACUCCUACGGGAGGCAGCAGUAAGGAAUAUUGGUCAAUGGACGCAAGUCUGAACCAGCCAUGCCGCGUGAAGGAUGACGGCCCUCUGGGUUGUAAACUUCUUUUAUCUGGGACGAAAAAAGAUCAUUCCUGAUCACUUGACGGUACCAGAGGAAUAAGCACCGGCUAACUCCGUGCCAGCAGCCGCGGUAAUACGGAGGGUGCAAGCGUUAUCCCGGAUUUACUGGGUUUAAAG
This 474-nucleotide ribosomal RNA is filed under the name uncultured Bacteroidota bacterium. RNAcentral describes it as "bacterial SSU rRNA". It matches the Rfam family "Bacterial small subunit ribosomal RNA", at positions 94 to 565 of the family's 1533-position model. The record is from RNAcentral. Lineage: Bacteria; Pseudomonadati; Bacteroidota.